This 252-nucleotide ribosomal RNA is filed under the name uncultured bacterium. Its description in RNAcentral is "partial 16S ribosomal RNA". It matches the Rfam family "Bacterial small subunit ribosomal RNA", at positions 524 to 776 of the family's 1533-position model. The record is from RNAcentral.
UACGUAGGUCCCGAGCGUUGUCCGGAUUUAUUAGGCGUAAAGCGAGCGCAGGUGGUUUAUUAAGUCUGGUGUAAAAGGCAGUGGCUCAACCAUUGUAUGCAUUGGAAACUGUUAGACUUGAGUGCAGGAGAGGAGAGUGGAAUUCCAUGUGUAGCGGUGAAAUGCGUAGAUAUAUGGAGGAACACCGGUGGCGAAAGCGGCUCUCUGGCCUGUAACUGACACUGAGGCUCGAAAGCGUGGGGAGCAAACAGG